Triplophysa rosa is the source of this 2208-nucleotide long non-coding RNA. RefSeq lists it as uncharacterized. Lineage: Eukaryota; Metazoa; Chordata; Actinopteri; Cypriniformes; Nemacheilidae. The record is from RefSeq and is a predicted model, not a curated record. The transcript is spliced from 5 exons.
UUCACUCUCCGUAGGGGAGGAGAUGGGGCAUCUCAAUGGGAAAUAUGGGUGAAAAGACUGCGUGCAGCCCGACACAGAGAUGCUGAAUGGAUGGGGCCAGUGCAACGUCACGCGGAGCCGCAGCCAUGAAGCGGAGGACCAGAGCGCGAGACAAUAUUCGGGAGCGCACGCAGCUCGCACGGGUACAGUGAUCAUUGCAAUCCGUCCUAUAAAGAUCAUCGAUGCUCCUGGAUAAGAGACGUCCAGUAGAGGAAAAGAGAUUUUGCAUGCGGGGACACGUCACACAGGUCCCAGUUCAGCGCUGGUUGGGUUCUACAUAUGGAAGAAGAGGAUGGGUGGCCGGAGGGGUUGGCUGUUAUCUUUGGUUAUCUAGCUGUAUGAGUGUUAUUCAUUCUUCAUAAAGCUAGAUAACCGAAAGUAACAAGAAUCCCAUUACACACCUGAAAGGCAUCACCCCCACAAGCUGUACUCCCUCUCUCCUUUUCUUCCCAAGUCUCUCUCUGUCUCUCCCCUUCAAUCUCUGCAUCUUGCAAGAGCAAGCCACAAAAUGGCCUCCAUCAGUGCUGUCAGUGAAGCAGCAAUCCAACAAUCCUGCUCUCCAUGAUGCCAGGGAAAGGAAAUGAAGAAGGGCAGGUCGCUUCUGCGGCUGUCUUCCCACUCCGAGUCCUGCUGGCGUUGCUGUUCCCCUCCCCUUCGUCGCCCGCCUGCCCCCUUCCUCCCGUCACGAGAUGCGGUUCGCACAAAGCCACCAUCUUAGAGCAUGCGGGCAUUAAAUGGAAGUGAAAAAUAAGCAGGUUUUUAGAGAGGAGUUGAAGAUCACGAAAUCCAUCCAGCAAAUAGAGGAUGAUGGUUCACAUGCUGUACAGUAGCAGCGGCUGAUGGAGUCACACAUCUUUACUAUGCAUGUGCCCCAACAUCAGAUUCAAACAGCACUUUAUAACUUUAACUGCAGCAAUUUUGAAAACAGUUGUAGUGUGUAUUUUUGAAGGGGUCUUGUGUAUCUUCAAUUAAGUCAUUUGUCUCUUAGUUUUACUGCUAGAAACUUGUAAGUUAUUGUGCGGGUAUGGAUCAAUGUACUUAACAAAUUGUGCAUUUGUAUUUCAAUUCUAAAAGAGUUGAGGUUUUAUUCAAGUAGUUCUGCUGUGAAUUUAACAAAUGCUGUGUUUAAAACAUGCUUGGAAAGUCUAGGGCUUAAAUAUAUUAAUCUUUCAAUUGAAUUUAACCCAACACAAUACAAUCUAGUAUGUUUUAGAUUGCCGAGUACAAUCUUUAGCAUAGCGCACUUUACAAAUUCAAACAAUAUUUUUUUCAGAAUUUUUCUUUUAGUUGAAUAGUUCUCAACACUAAAGAUAAAGUAGCUGUUCUAGAAACUGUUAAUGUGUGUGUACAUCCCCUAACUGAUUACUAAUUGAUAUUUAACAUGAAUUGUUAGAAAUAAUGUGUGAGGCUCUGUAGAUUCUGCAUGUAUGAAUGGAAGACCCACGGCAGCAGUGAACGAUACUGCACUCUUGAUUGGACAGCUCAGUGUGUUGAUGGACGGAGAGCUGUUGUCUUUAAUUUUUAUGCAGUUGCGUUGGGUUUGCAAUCACCAGAAAGAGAAGGCAGAUCAGACUUAAACUGCUAUAUUUGAGACAUUCAUUCACAGCAUGCUAUAUCUGGUUUAAGGUGAUCAGAUAUUUAAAUCCCACUUAAAUUGUUUUUUUUUUUAGAUCGUAAAGUUAUUUUAAAGGCUAUUAAAUGCUCUGUCUCUCUGUAUUUUUGUUACAAUCAUUUAUAGUUCAAAUAUUGAUAUGCAAUUGUUUUAAGAUUUUAUUAUAAAUGUAAGAGUUGGUGCAAGUGUAUGGUGCAGUCUAUUUCGUAAACACUUUCCAUGAAAACAUUUUUUAAUUGUAGCAAAUCUACAAUUUUAAAUGUUUUAAAUGUGACACAUCAAAUGUGAAGACAAUGAACUGAUCAAACGGAGCUUUUUGCUAUGCAAUUUUAUCUAUUUUGUUUGUAAUUUUGUAUCAUGUUAUUAUGUCCAGUGGUGUGUAGUGCUGUAUUAACAAUAUUUAAAAUAUAUUCAUUUCAUUUGUAGUUCUUUUAUGUUUAUCUUUACUUUUCAGAUAAAUGUAAAUGUGCCUUUCUUUUUUGAGUGAUUUUCUGUAAUACCACAUGUGCCUUUGUAAUGAUGUCCUGUUAUGGAUAUUAAUAAAUGUUUACUUUGAA